This is an RNA transcript of Spinacia oleracea (spinach), 1203 nucleotides long. It is a transcript of the gene named glycerol-3-phosphate dehydrogenase SDP6, mitochondrial-like, with no coding region annotated. The transcript is spliced from 6 exons. The record is from RefSeq and is a predicted model, not a curated record. NCBI's taxonomy places the organism in Eukaryota, Viridiplantae, Streptophyta, Magnoliopsida, Caryophyllales, Amaranthaceae.
GCUUCUCGGUGUUUGCUCGGUGCUUCUCACCCACCACCCCCCAAAAAAACCACUGUUUCUUCUCCACCACCCCCCCAACAAACUACCACCGCAUCGUGGUUGCUGUAUCCCCCCUCCCACAUGCGUUUCUCCCCCCAGUUGUGUGCCUCUCUUGCGUUUCAGGAAGCCGCCCCCGCAACCGCCUCCUCUCCUCUCCUCUCCCGCGCGCACCACCGCUGUUGCUGGCUCCCCUCCCACUAGACACUGCUAGCAGUGGUGUACAUAUUGUUCUCCCUGAAUACUAUUCUCCAGAAGGGAUGGGGUUAAUCGUUCCAAAAACUAAGGACGGAUGUGUUGUGUUCAUGCUUCCAUGGCUGGGCAAGACAUUAGCAGGGACCACAUAUUCCAAUAUCGCCAUUACAAUGCUGCCAGAACCACGUGAGGAUGAGAUUCAAUUCAUAUUGGACGCUCUCACUGACUAUCUCUGUAUCAAGGUUCGUCGAACAGAUGUUCUCUCUGCAUGGAGUAGAAUCCGUCAAUGUGCUAUGGAUCCAACAACCAAGAACACAGAAAGUAUCUCCCGUGAUCACGUUGUUUGUGAAGAUUUCCCUGGUUUUGUUACCAUUAAUGGUGGAAAAUGGACCACACAUAGAAGAGUUUUGUGGUUUCGGAGUUAUUCGAAGUACCAGUAUGUCUGCAGUUCAAGUUUCAGAUAACAACAAGCGGGUCUGUGAAGUAAGUUCCGGUAGGAUCAGCAAAUUGCAAAUUUCCAACAAGUUCCGAUAGAACUUGUAGUUGCAUUCAGAUGUGGAGGGAAAGCUGCGGAAGCUCUUGAUUGAUCUGGGAAAUUCUGGAAAGAUACUGGGAGUUCAGUUUGUGUCAAGGGCAUUUAGUUGAGAGGACAUGAAACAUGAUAAAAGAUACGAGGCUCUGCUGUGAACCAGGUCAAAAGCCUACAGGCAGUUCAGGAGUGGCACCUGAUGCAAUGUUUUCAAAACUCCAAGGGAGGGGGCCUUUACCAAAGAGGAGUUGGAUGAAGUUCGAGACAAGUGGGCUACUUACUUCAACGAUUGUGAACUACCCUCGGUGUAAUAAAUAGAGCAGGCUUGUAGUUAUCCGUGACUCUUACAUUAUUUGUUAUUUAUCGAUUUAAUUAAUUACAUUUGAAUUAAUUCGGUAAUAUUAUUGGAAAUUUAAAAUUUAUGUCAUUUUUGAGAAUGUCAA